This 160-nucleotide ribosomal RNA is filed under the name uncultured bacterium. RNAcentral's name for it is "partial 16S ribosomal RNA". It matches the Rfam family "Bacterial small subunit ribosomal RNA", at positions 355 to 507 of the family's 1533-position model. The record is from RNAcentral.
UGGGGAAUCUUGGACAAUGGGCGAAAGCCUGAUGCAGCCAUGCCGCGUGUGUGAUGAAGGCCUUCGGGUUGUAAACCCCUUUCGGCGAGGACGAAGGUGGUGAGCUUAAUACUGUCAUCGAAUGACCUUACUCCUACAAGAAGCACCGGCUAACUCCGUG